Molecule: ribosomal RNA, 227 nt
Filed under: uncultured bacterium
Lineage: Bacteria
Description: partial 16S ribosomal RNA
Rfam family: Bacterial small subunit ribosomal RNA
Source: RNAcentral
CCGUAGCCUCAAAGAGGGGGACAACAGUUGGAAACGACUGCUAAUACCGCAUACGAUCUAACCUCGGCAUCGAGGAAAGAUGAAAGGUGGCCUCUAUGUAUAAGCUAUCACUGAAGGAGGGGAUUGCGUCUGAUUAGCUAGUUGGAGGGGUAACGGCCCACCAAGGCGAUGAUCAGUAGCCGGUCUGAGAGGAUGAACGGCCACAUUGGGACUGAGACACGGCCCAG